AAAGCGAAGCCGCGAGGUGGAGCAAAUCCCAUAAAAGGCGUCCCAGUUCGGAUUGCAGGCUGAAACCCGCCUGUAUGAAGUUGGAAUUGCUAGUAAUCGUAGAUCAGCAUGCUACGGUGAAUACGUUCCCGGGCUUUGUACACACCGCCCGUCAAACCAUGAAAGUCGGGGGACACCCGAAGUCUGUGAGCUGACCGCAAGGAGGCAGCAGCCGAAGGUGGAUUCGAUGAUUGGGGUUAAGUCGUAACAAGGUAUC
This 256-nucleotide ribosomal RNA is filed under the name uncultured bacterium. RNAcentral describes it as "partial 16S ribosomal RNA". It matches the Rfam family "Bacterial small subunit ribosomal RNA", at positions 1246 to 1500 of the family's 1533-position model. The record is from RNAcentral.